UGGGGAAUAUUGCACAAUGGGCGAAAGCCUGAUGCAGCGACGCCGCGUGAGGGAUGACGGCCUUCGGGUUGUAAACCUCUUUCAGUAGGGACGAAGCGCAAGUGACGGUACCUGCAGAAGAAGCACCGGCUAACUACGUGCCAGCAGCCGCGGUAUUACGUAGGGUGCGAGCGUUGUCCGGAAUUACUGGGCGUAAAGAGCUCGUAGGCGGUUUGUCACGUCGUCUGUGAAAUCCUAGGGCUUAACCCUGGACGUGCAGGCGAUACGGGCUGACUUGAGUACUACAGGGGAGACUGGAAUUUCUGGUGUAGCGGUGGAAUGCACAGAUAUCAGGAAGAACACCGAUGGCGAAGGCAGGUCUCUGGGUAGUAACUGACGCUGAGGAGCGAAAGCAUGGGUAGCGAACAGG
Molecule: ribosomal RNA, 409 nt
Filed under: bacterium
Lineage: Bacteria
Description: partial 16S ribosomal RNA
Rfam family: Bacterial small subunit ribosomal RNA
Source: RNAcentral